Molecule: ribosomal RNA, 468 nt
Filed under: uncultured bacterium
Lineage: Bacteria
Description: partial 16S ribosomal RNA
Rfam family: Bacterial small subunit ribosomal RNA
Source: RNAcentral
GACGAACGCUGGCGGCGUGCUUAACACAUGCAAGUCGAACGGAAAGGCCCUGCUUUUGUGGGGUGCUCGAGUGGCGAACGGGUGAGUAACACGUGAGUAACCUGCCCUUGACUUUGGGAUAACUUCAGGAAACUGGGGCUAUUACCGGAAAGGAGCUCCUGCUGCUGGGUGGGGGUGGGAAAGUUUCGGCGGUUGGGGAUGGACUCGCGGCUUAUCGGCUUGUUGGUGGGGUAGUGGCUUACCAAGGCUUUGACGGGUAGCCGGCCUGAGAGGGUGACCGGCCACAUUGGGACUGAGAUACGGCCCAGACUCCUACGGGAGGCAGCAGUGGGGAAUAUUGCACAAUGGGCGGAAGCCUGAUGCAGCAACGCCGCGUGCGGGAUGACGGCCUUCGGGUUGUAAACCGCUUUCGCCUGUGACGAAGCGUGAGUGACGGUAAUGGGUAAAGAAGCACCGGCUAACUACGUG